UGGGGAAUAUUGCACAAUGGAGGGAACUCUGAUGCAGCGACGCCGCGUGAGUGAUGAAGGACUUCGUUUCGUAAAACUCUGUUCUAUGGGAAGAAAAGGACUGUACCAUAGGAGAAAGCUCCGGUUAAAUACGUGCCGGAAGCCGCGUUAAUACGUAUGGAGCGAGCGUUGUCCGGAAUUAUUGGGCGUAAAGGGUGCGCAGGCGGCUUUACAAGUUGGAUGUGAAAUAUUGUGGCUCAACCACAAACGUGCAUCCAAAACUGCAAAGCUUGAGUUAAGGAGAGGUAAGUGGAAUUCCUGGUGUAGCGGUGGAAUGCGUAGAUAUCAGGAGGAAUACCGGUGGCGAAGGCGACUUACUGGACUUAAACUGACGCUCAGGCACGAAAGCGUGGGGAGCAAACAGG
Molecule: ribosomal RNA, 404 nt
Filed under: Fusobacteriota bacterium
Lineage: Bacteria; Fusobacteriati; Fusobacteriota
Description: Fusobacteria bacterium partial 16S ribosomal RNA
Rfam family: Bacterial small subunit ribosomal RNA
Source: RNAcentral